Corvus hawaiiensis (hawaiian crow) is the source of this 11522-nucleotide RNA transcript. RefSeq lists it as uncharacterized. Lineage: Eukaryota; Metazoa; Chordata; Aves; Passeriformes; Corvidae. The transcript has 3 exons. The record is from RefSeq and is a predicted model, not a curated record.
AGGUUUUGGGGUAGCUGGGAGCAGGGUAGGUGAAGAUGUUGCCCACAACCUCUUGCUCAGCAUCCUCCCCAUCCAUCGGGCUGCUCUGGCCCUGCUGGGCUACCCUGAGAUUUUGUGGGUGAUCUCAACAGAUCCAAUGACCCACGUCCAUCCAAGGUGUAGCUACUGAAACCAUGGCCUCAGCUGGGAUUUGAAGCACCUGCAGCGAGUAUGAGCUACCCUCACCUCCCUGCCUUGCUCGGCUGGGGCAGGGCUUGCAGAAUCUCAGGCAAAACUCCACUGGAGGAUGAGAGGUUUGGGUGUGGAACAGAAAUGUAGCCCAGCAUUUUUUGUGUGCAGCCUUCAACCUACAGCAACAGCCACCACACCCUACAAACUCCAUUUGCGUUAUUUCGUGGGAACAGAGAACUGAAGGUAAACUGGUUUCUUGCCCCAAAGCCAAGCCCUACCACACCCAGGCCUGUGCUCUGGUGGUGUCACUGCCAUAGUUCCUCUUUCACCUCUUCAACUCAACCCAUCCAUGCCGCGGUUCAUGCUGUACUCACACAGGCUCAUGUGGGAUUGGCUCAGCACCAUCACUCCAGGGAUACCUGGAGGCCCUGCAGAGGAGCAGCAAAAGGACAAAUCCAGGUUGUGGAUGCUGCUGGUACCCACCAGGUAUGUUAUUUACUUAUUUGUGUCAAGGGUUUGCUUGAGAUCUCAGAGCAGAACAUCAGACUUGCCAGUAUUGCACUGGUGUGUGUGGUGGGGAUCUUGACUUGGCUGCGCUGUGCAGGGAGGAAGCCAGGACAGAUGAAGGAGUUAAAUAUGGAAACAAGAUCCAGAAAUAUAGCGGUAACCGGACAAAAUUCUUUGGAGACAAAUUGUUCUAAACUAACUCAGGCUGUGAUUCUGUUAUCUGCUCUGCAAGAAAGGUCAGAGCAGGAAUAUCUCUUUUUUCUCCCCCCUCUUCAACUCCUUCUUGUCCUAGGGAGCUAAAAAGAAGAGCACAAAGCCCACUGCAAGUUUCUUCAGGACUGUGUGUCCUUGACCCAUCAGCUCGUAGGUACAAUUUAACUGCCACAUCACUCAUCUUGGCCCUGAUUAGACCCAGAUGAACACUUUCAAUAUUAAUAGUCGGAUGAUUUAAUAAAGCUGCACAAGCAGUAAAAGUAACAAUACACUUCCAUAAACGGGUUCCAGAUGUUGCCAAGGCAAAUGCUAAACAUCAAAAUACAAACUUAAAAAAAAAAAAAGCUAAAAAAAAAAAAGCUGGAUAAGCAAAACUUGGAACAAACUGUAAACUAAUUAAAUGUGGGUUGAGUUUUCCAAAAAUAAAUUGAAGCCAUAAGGAUGUGAUGUGAGCCAAUAAAUAGUACAGUUAGUCAAAGUUAUUGUGGAACGACAGUUGGAGGGAUGGUUUGAAGCCACCGAUAGGUGGGCUCACAGCAAGCUUGGCUUCCCAUCAAUAGGAAGGCUUGUUCUCCUGUGCAUGAGAGUGGGAUCAAAUCUUCUGGUAUCUAUAACUGGGACCCCAGAGAGGUUACUGAGAGAAUAUGAGAUGAUUUUCAAGUCAGGGAAUAAAGGGAAAAUGAUGCCAGAAGUGCCUGUGUCUCUCCUGCAAUAGCAGCAGGGGUGAUACCACCACCCAAGGACACCGGGAUAUUUUUUAACGCGUGCCAGAGCAGCCCCCCAGCCUCUCAUUGUCCACAGGGCAUCCACAACCUCAGCUUGGCCACCUGCAAGACCCAUGGAAACACCACUGCUGUAGUCAAUAACUCACCCUCUUCCCCAUACUGGAGUCAUUGAAAACAGCUCUGCAAGAGAAUUUCACCCCAGUCCCAUCGCUGCAGCCGCAGAAGCAGCCUCCCCAGCAGAUGAGCUUUCUGCCAGCAGGGACUGCGGCUGGAGGAACACGGAGGGGGAUUUUGUGAGCCCCUCUCUAUCACUGCAGCCCCAGAGAGCAGGUGGGUCAUCCAGCACCUAACUCUGGCUCCAGCUUUCUCCACGCUGUGGUCCCCAAGGAGGGGGAACCACUAAGGAGCAAGCUGGGGGUGCCUGGGGGUGCAGGCACAGCACAUUUGUUACAGGCAAGGAGAAAGCACCUUGUAGCCCAAGCGAUGGCAGGCAAUGCAUUUUCACUGAGGGGCAGAGUUCUCAAGUAUUCUCCCUGACAUGCUGCUUUGGGACAGCUAAACACCAGAUGGGCUUAAGGGAACAUGUUUGGAGUGAGAUGCUGGGGCUCUUAUCCCUGUUCCCAGCUCUGCCCUUCCCAAGGUGGAAGUGCACCAAGGCCUCUGCUGCAUAGGACCUCCAUUAUAGGACCUUCAGAUCAUGCUUUGUCUUGCAGUGAUAACUGUCCUUACAUUGCUGGUAUUUCUCAAGGACAAAGAAAAAUUGAUAAUUUUUAGGUCACAAAUGCUCUACGGUGAGGUCUAUCCCCUCCUUUCCGCGUAUCUCCAAGCACCCUGGGAUGGGGCUGAGGCUAUUUCAGCUGUCACAGAGGGCUGCCCAGCUUGCUGUUACUGUAGUGGCUCUGGGAGCUUCCUGCAUCAUCUUUUCCAUGCAGGUCAAUCAACCUGUAGUCCCUAGGCUUUGCACUGGCAGACACUAAGGCCAGGGAGAUUAGUUGAGAUGCUCUUUGCUUUUCCUAAUCAGCAGCUUUCCCUAAAUAUGCUUUCCCUAAACAGCACUUAAACACGGGACUGGGGAGCAGCUCUAACUCAACCCUGCAGCCCUGUUAUUCCUGGAAACCUCCAGAUAUGUGCCCUGAUGGAAACACAACCUGCACUGGGACCUGCUUUCCCACCUGGGUGAGCCUGGGCUCCGCGGUGAGUCCUGCGCCUGCCGCCAAGUUUAGGAUUAGGUUUUGCUUUGGGCUUUUAUCCAUGGUUAAUGACACAACUCCGCAAUAACAGAGCCUCUCAUAAAAUUAUUAUGAGAACAAACAAAUUCCUUCCCUUUUAUAUGCAGUACUUUGUUUUUAAGAUUAAUCCAACAGCAGAGUUGAUGGGUUCUGCUCUCUCGCUGACCCAUGUGAGAGCACCAGGUGAUCCCCAUCACCAGGUUACUCCCGAGCUGCCUUCUCCAUGAUGCAACAACCAGUGCCACAGAUGGGCAUCAGGGUAAUUCCUAUGCCCUGAUUUCCAGGAGAUUCUGUGUAGGGUCAGAAGUUCCCACACAGUUGUUCAGCACUACCUGUGUAACAGGGAUCCUGGAUUUCUUGCAGUCAGCUGGAGGUAGGUCUGCCCUGCCAAAAAUGCCUGGUGUCGUUGCAGCAUCCUGCUGUGCUACAGGAUCUCCCCAGAACCAGACCUCAAAAUGUUGUACUUCUAUUUUGGACGCAGCUCAGUUUCCUCCAGCAGACUCCUGUUCUCCAGUGAUGGGGUCUGGUGAUGCUUUCAGCUGCUGAACCAAAGAGGUUUUUAGUGUCAGGCUGCUCUCCUCCAUCCAUGUGUUUUACACUGUAUCUUCAUAGGAGAGGUAGAGCAGACCAAAUGAAGCUGAAAAAACUUAUUAUCCCAGUUUUUGCCUCUGCAAGGCAAAAGCCACUGGCUCCCCCAGGAAAUCCAUCAGUGCCCAGGCUGCAUUCGGAUCAGGGGACCCAGGCUCCACCCUCAGGUAUGUGGUCCCACAUAGUCCUGCAUAAUAAAUAGUGCAUUUGGCAGAGUACAGUAUGGAGCAAGGAAUGAGCCAGAAAUGUUUCCUAGUGCAUAAAAAAGGACUGAUUUUGAUUGUGUUAGACACCAGUGCUUCCAGUGCCAGGAAGACAUGCAGUAUACAUUUCUGGUUUGCUUGGACCUUCUUCAAACAGGCUGGUAACUGAUUUAUUCUACUACUUUUUCCUUUGUGAAAAUAUCCCUUUAAAUUCAGUGUUUAGCAAAUACUGCUUAGUCCCAUAACAAAAUAAAUUGGGUAUGGAUCAUACCAGCAGGCUUCUCCGGUCUCUUUCAGAUGCUUAAAUUACAUCAUGAUCUAACUUCACCCACGGGAGGGGCAAGCUCUGCAGAUUACUGUCUGUCCUUCUGCUUUGGUAAUCUCCAGUAUUCUCGGGUGCCUUCACAAGUUUUCUGUGCAUCAGUGCAAAGACUCCGCUUUUGGGGUGUGGGGAUGUUUCAUACUGAGGUACCCCAGGGUUGUGCCCCAACAAAGCCAGCAGAGUCCAGGCAAGCUGGAAUGCCAGGGGCCAGUGAGGAGAUGCCUGGCAUUGGACAGGGAGAAUUUGGCCAGAGCAGUUUCUCUUUGAUUUUGGUCAGUUGAUGUCUGGGUGAGGACAGGGGAGUGCACCUGGGCCUGCGCUCCUCUGUCUGCCCUCACAGCCACUUGUCUCCCCCAUCCACUAUGGCAGGAUCUCAAGUUUCCUUCACAGAUUUCACUUUCUGACCCCCAAAGCUGCUUCUGCUGGGACCACCCCACUCCAUCCCUUUGGGCCCCUGGGGGUCUGGGUGCUGGUGUCCGGCACAGGGGCUGGCAGGGAGCAGCCUGUGCCACGGGACGGCUGGGCCAGCGGGGACGCCUGUGGCAGGGGGGUUGCAGGGGCAAUUAUUUGCCAUAUUGUGCUCUCACUUGUGUUUAAAAACAACAACAGCUAAACUGACUCAUAGAUCCUACGGCCUCUGAGUCAUUUUUUAUUUCUGGAUUUCACUGCUCUGCCCUUUGCAAUGAAGGGAGUUGUAUGCUCGCUCUCUCUCUCUCUCUCUCACACACACACACACAUCAAGUUCACAUUUGUUUUUCCCCUAUAAAAACAAAACGAUUUCCAUACCAUUAAUGAAACAGAAAUUAUUUGACUUCGCGUACCCUGGCUUUUAUUUUCCAUUGUAUAAACUCUGCAGAUGAAAUAAUGAUGAUUGUAAAGUAAACCUCUCUUUUUUUUUUUCCUUUCCCUUUCUAGGCAGCCUCUUUUCGAAAUAGCAAUAGGGAGUCACUUACAGGCUUGGCUUGUGCUGUGCCUGUAGUAAUUAACCCCUUCAUCCCUAGCUUUUCCUCUGUUGGAAGUUAGCCACGGCGUGGGUGAAGACAUCAGCAGGUCUCUGGGACUAGGAGCAAAGCAGGGGAGCAGAGCAGGCAGGGAAAUGUGGGAAAGGAGGCCAAGAGCUGCUGCAGGCAGAGCAGUGGUGAGUGCCUGGAGCAAUACACCCAUGGGCCCGGCAGCUUUCCUGGGAGAGCCAGGGUUCUGGCACUGCAGGGCCAGAGGUAUCUUCAGUCCUCCUACACGCCCCCCCCCCUUUUUGGGGGUUUAAAUCAGCACCACCGUUUUGUGUUUAGCCUGGCAGCCCCGUUCUGGGUCACCUCCCUUCCUUCUCACCCCCUUGGGGCCACCAGCAAAACGUUCCCUCUCCUCCACACGCCACUGCAGAAAUAAUCUGUGGUAAAUAAUUAAUCACCUAAUCUUGCUCUUUCUGUUUACAGGGCCGUUAUGAUUUUACGAAGUACUCCGAGGAACAUUAUUAGGGUGAGGUAAUACCUUACACAGCAGCAGCUCCAGCUGGAGCCGGGCGUGCGAACACGUGCCUGCUCUGCCCCGAGGGACGGGGUGAGCUGCCCUCCCCGAGAGGGUGUGAGCUCUGCUUCUUGAUAGACCCUUACCAUCACACGCAAUCUGUCUGUCUUCAAGGCCUCCACACAUGCCACAAGCAUUUUUCCUAAUCACAUUUAUCAUGCAACAGCACAACCCUUCAUCUCCCCAGCAUUGGAUCAGAUGCUUCACUGAUGCCUGGCCCGGGUGGGUUGGUGACACUGACUGAGAUACUGUUCCUCUUCCCAGGCUGGGUGAUGUGUUUUAUAUUAUUUCUCUUGGAUUUAUUAAGCAUUAUGUAACUGGCUAACCAAUCCCGCAUGCGAUGCAAUCGUGGCUGAUUUCAUGUCAGUGGAAAGUAAACAAAAAAAUUGCUCUGAAGUGGCUGAGCUGAAAUUCAUUUCCACAUGCAGAGCAAUUCCUGGAGGAUCUCUCCCAUCUCCUCGUGGUUAAUUUGCAUUCAAGCUCUCAUGGAACCCGUUAGAAAGGAGUUAUGGAAAAAUUGCACAUAGGACGUGACAGUGUGUUAUGAGGAAAAAUUAUUAAGAUGAAGUUUAUUUUACUCAAAUAUUUUUAAGCAAGUUUGUUGAUUUCUGCUGUUCCUUGAAAUGUAUAACACUUGCCUAUUUUUUGUCUUUUAGCUGGGGAAUUCCUUCAAAUGUGAAAAUUACUCGCCAAAGAAAGUUUGGCAUUGAAGUUUGAAAAAUCAGGCAAGCCAGCCCUGCAGUCCUGAGGUCCUGAAGCCCAGCAGGACCCAGCCCAACAUGACAAGGAAGAUGUUCUGCCCUUGCUGAGCUUUGGAAGAACUGUAGGUAUCAGGUGAGGCAAAAAAAUACACCCCCAUUAGACUCUGAACUCAAGCUCUUUCAGGAACACUUUCUUUCUGGUGUCAUGGACAACAUCCUUCCCAGUAAUACCAGUUUGCAUUCAGAGACAUUGAGCUGAGGAUGGGGGAAUGUGGAAUGGAUAAAAGAGCAGUGGCCUCGCACUAUUUCAUUUGUUUUUCUCAGUGUCUCUGAAACUUUCAGCAAUGCCUGAAAAUGUUGUGUGUAUUUCUGGAUCCAUUUCACUGACACACUUCAUUGAAAUAUCAGUGAAGUUGGUGGUUGGGGGUUACCUAGUUGCAUGUUAUUUGCAUUAUUUUUCACUAAGUCCCUGAGGCAGCCAAGCACCAGCUUCACCUGGGUAAGAAGCUAAGUGCAAUUAAGCUGAAAUGCUGUGUUAGACCUGGCUGGGCUCAUGGAUCAUGUAACAUCAUUUGUCAAUUGCUGGGCUGCAAUUUGAACAAAAGGGUGGCACCAAGCCGUGAUCCAGGGACAGAUGAUGGUGGUGAAGGGGCAGGAUGGGACAGCCCUGAAGGCAAUGCUGGUGGGCAAGUUCACAGCUCUAUGUGGGUGUCACCACUGCUCCUAGCCUUGUCCUGACUUGCUAGAUGAGGAAAGCUGUCCUAAAACAAGGAGAAAACUCACAAGUUAGGGGGUUGUCCCCUCUUCUGGUUUAUUCCUUUGUGAGAUGAGCAGGGAUGCUCUGUAUCCUUCUUUAAAAAGAUGGCUUGAGGGAGGGCUGAGAAUUAGAACAGAGGGUUAGCACAGGAAUCCCUCACAUUGCCCAGGACAGCAGCUUAACAGUGAGGUUUUUUCACUCCAUGCCUGCUGGAUGUUGUGGGUCACUGUGUAAUUACAGCCAGUACCUCCAGAGCCAUUACCAGGCCAGGCAAAAGCUUCCCUGGCAGACAAAAGCAGGUGUGAGUUUGCCUGGUAAUACCCGUACUUAUCCCUUUAGGCAUUUGUCAGCCACUGGAUAAGUAGGGGGCUAUGAAUGUCAGAUGUGAGGAGCUAUGACACAAAUCAACUUCUGCAGCCAUCCUGUGUCUGAGGGUGCAACCUUGUCUGGAAACAAGUCCCUUUUAUUGCACCUAUGUCCCCAUUUCUUUCUUGUUCCUAUAUUGUGCUGUCCUUUCUACCCUGUGUUGUAUUGGAAAAGCCCUGAGAGAGCAAGCUAAGCCAGCAGCACAGCCUGAAGUGUCUGGGAGGGAAAAAAACCCCACAGCCAGGGGUCAGCCCAAGAGAAAACCAUGGAUACAGUGUGGUGACCUGCACCAGCAUCAUGGCCCCACCGCCACAGCAACUCCCACCAGCCCAGACAGCACGCGAGGAGAACGUGCCACUCCUCUUGGUGAGAUGGAAAGCAAAGCAACUUAUUCAAGGUCUAAGGAGGUGGGGAAAUGCUGAGUUUUAGCAGUUCAUAAGUAAUUUUAGCAGCUCUGCCAGCACCUCUGCUUAUCUGGGGCCUUGCAGGGUGAGGCAAUGCAUUAUCGGCGCAUCACGUUCUGGGGCCCGUGGGUUGCCAGUGGGGUUUGCAGAGGGCUAAGCUGGCACAUCCCCAGUGGAAGUUGCCUUCUGAUGACUGGGGAUUUGCAUGCCAUGUUUUCUGAGAUUUCAGCCCUUUGAAGAGCACUUUGCAGUGAUCUGGUUUCAACGAAAUUCUUGUCUUAAAAACAAAUCCCUUCUCCCACCUCCCACACUGCCUGGGAGCAGGAGUCACUGCCUGGCCAUGCAUGGGUGGUUUGAGCUCAUCUUAUUGCAAGUUGCUGCAGAAAUUGCUGAGGAUUUUAGAGUACUUUUAGGACUGGGAGCUGAAUGGCAGAAGGCAAGAUUCAACCGACUCCACAAUGCUGUUGCUAUAAUUUUUGUUGCUCUUGUUUCUGCAGAGGCAUCAACAGUCUCUCCUGUAUCCCAAUUAACUGCAGCUUCUGCAGCUCAUUCUCAGAUGCAGCAGCCAUGAGUCUCCCCCUUUUACACAGGAAAGGCAGCAACAGCAAUGAACCAAGCAGCAAAAGCACGUGAGCUGCAAGUCGGUAGCAGACAUUGCUCUGUCUAAACUACUGCCGUUCAAGUAAAACUACUGUGCAGCAGUCAGGGUUUUUUUACUAUUCAUCAUAUUAUGCUCUGGAAUUCAAUUUUCUGUAUAUUUUUCAGGCUCUGCAUGAACCCUGGAUGUCCGUGAAUAGACGGAAUGGAAAUUUAAGGAUACCAUCCAAUGCCUCUCAAGAGAUCCCCCUUGCAGGAGAAGGAGAAGGUUCCCACAAGUCCCAGCCCCGGGGCAGAGCUGCAGCACAGCUCCAGGGAGACUCGGCAGCUGGAGGAGAUGGGGUUCAGGGAGCAAAGCUGCUCUUCCAACAUGGAAGAAAUGGCAAAGCUGGGAAUGUUCUCUGUUCACCAUCUCCUGCUCCAAGAUCUCAUCAUUUUGCAGUAGCUGCUUGUCUUUUCACCUCAGCAUCCCGCCUCUGGACACCUCCUGAGACAUGCCAUGGUCUGGAAAUGCUAAGCAGCACUUCUGCACAAGAGCUGCCUCCCAAGCCACAGCCUGUUGCCAAGCUGAUAGCCCUGGCAAGGGUGAAAGGAAGGCUCAGAUGUGAUGAUGCUGUUCUACAAACAGAAUGUCCAAGGAAGGAAGUUUUAUCAAGCAACAUCAAACAGAUGUUCCUCAUCGUGUUCCAGCUGCACUGACUGGCAACUUGCUCAGUCAAACACUUGAGGAGGACACAGAUGUUCAUUCUGCAUGGACGACAGUUUAUUAAAUGCUCCACCUGGAAACAGCAAAGGAUCUUUUAAAAGAAAUAUCUGUACCAGUGUUCAUUGUAAAUGCACCAGAAGCACUUGUAAUCACGGCACUCACAAAAACUGUUGCCAGGAAGGGGCCUGAGUUACUGAUUUUGCAGGAAAAACAAAGAAAUUUUUCUCUGGAUUUUCACUGCUGGGCACGGUAUGAAUCCCCAUUGGCAACAGCAUCUUUCUGGUGGAGUACUUGGUGAACUAUGGCUAUGUAAGAUACAGCUAAGCACUCUGGUUUGGGAUGCCUGAAGUGAGAAGGGAUCAGUAUCAAAAUCCCAAGUUUUUGCACUGUUGAUCUAAGGAAAAGGCCCUUCUUAGUGGCCAGGAACUUCAGCAGAUGUCUCUGCGCCUUCCAGGUGCAAAGAUGUAAGUGGGUUUUUCCCAGAGGGAACAUUGUCACAGGGGUGUUGGAGGAACUGAGGAGGUUAGGAGAGAUUUGGAUAUUGGGGCAGUAUCAGACAUCAGUGGGUGUCACCUCAGGUGAUUGCUUCAGCGCUCUGCCCUGCCUGGACCCCAGAGCAAGGUGAUAAACCAGCCCUGUUUGCUGGCUGCCAUGGCUGUGCUGGUUCCCACUGCUGGCACAAACACAUCUGUGCUGCUUUGCCUGCAGGGCAUGCAUUAGAGGGUGUGUGAUGGCCCUGCAGGGCUGAACUCUCCAGCUCCAAGGCAUGGCCAGAGGACCUGCCAUCAUGUGCUGCAGGGGCAGGACAACAGCUCUUUGCAGGCUGAGUGAAGGCAGUCUGGAAUUUCCUUCAGAAACCUUCAGGCCUCAUCAGAACUGAGUCUGGAGCUGUGGUAGAAGCUGCUGGGGACAGCUUUGUUUGGACACCUACUUAUCCAGAAAGACUGGAGUUUUAGGUCCAGCGGAGAGUAACUGACUUGGAGCUAAAGGGAACAUCUCCACCCACAGUGUGGGAAGCUGAGAGAUCUUCCUGCAGGCAGUAUGUGUCCAAUAUGAUGCUGCUUCAACUACUUUGAGAGUUGUGGCCCACUUUGAGAGUGGAAUGGGUGGAAAUGGAGCACAAGACCCUGCAAAGUGAUACUCUGCAGCUGCCACUGGUGGAACCACACCUCAGCCCCCCACUACAGCUGGAACUGCACAUCAGCCCCCCAUCUACAGCAUGCUCAGGCUGAUUGCCUCAAAUCACUCAGCACAAAUAGUGAAAAUGUCCUUUAAAAACCAAAUUAAUCUUGAAUCCAAAUGACCCUGUGCAGUCCAGGGUAGCAGCUGGAUGUAGGCAUGUCCUUGGGCUGCUAGAGUCCACAUGGGCCAUAGCCCUCUGUCCAGCACAGCCUGGCAGACUGCAGUCACAGCUGGACACAUUAAUGACCCACAUGCCACAACACAUUUGCUGUAGUAUAAAUCAGCUGUCAUUUGUUCCUGGCUUAUCAAUGGGAAGGAAAACACUGCCGUGGAACAGCUCCAUGAAAGGUUAAGUUCUGGAGCCACUUAAUUGGUAGGAGCACAGGCUGCAGAGGGGAUUGCAUGAUAAGCAGGCUCUCCUACUUCUCCUAAAAUUUUGACAGUUACCAGAAGCUGGCAGCAGAGUUUCAACCCUACAUGGGCUGUAACAAAAAGAUGAACCAACUGAAGAAGAAGAAAUAUGACCCUGAUGGAUGCUACAGAUCCUUUCCAGAGGCAGGAUCACAACAGUUGACUCUGAAUUCAGGGAUGUGCAUGCAAACAGGGCCAAGACAGCUUUCAGCCACUCCUUCACUUCCCCCUGAAGAUCCCUAAGGAAAUGUUAUCCCACAGUUGGGAUCCAGCACAGACAUAAUGAAGGUUUGAUAGGGCAGGCAGCCAUCAGUGGUGUUAUCUCCCUUCUGCACAGAGGCCCCUUCCAGUGUGAGGCUUUCACUUGGCACACAGCACUAAACUGGGGAUGUGAAAAGAGCAGAGUGUGUGGGAGCUGCUGAUUUUGUCUCCUUGGUGGGACUGUUUUUUUUUAAUAAAAGGAUCAGAUGUUGCGCUUCCUUGAAAACACGACAAUCUAUGGGAGAGUUCAUUAGUUUAUGGCAAGUUGCAACACUGUGGAGCCUGGCUGAAAGCAAAUGUUAUUGCAAAGAGUUAUCACUAAGGGGAGAGGAAAACAAUGUCCUGAGGAAAUAAACUCAACAGAGCAAAUCGUGGAGCAAUAUAAAGCUGUGGAGUACAGGCAGUAGAGCAGAAUUCUUUCUCAGAAUAAAAGCCCCCAGUCACCUGUUUUUAAUGCCAGUGUUUGCUUUCUGCAUAUUCAGUGAAUGCGUGGGAUACAUCUGCCCAGAACUCUGUCUCUAAUGGGAGUAACAAGUAUCAUGAUUGCAGCUGGCUGAACUUAUUUACUACUAGUACACAAAAAUGUCUUUCUGACCAUCAUUAAAUAGUGAUAAAACCAGUAAAAUACCAGUAAACAUCAGUUUUGUGUUUGUUG